RNAcentral lists this transfer RNA (53 nucleotides) under Capsicum annuum. It matches the Rfam family "tRNA", at positions 1 to 50 of the family's 71-position model. Rfam says of the family: Transfer RNA (tRNA) molecules are approximately 80 nucleotides in length. Their secondary structure includes four short double-helical elements and three loops (D, anti-codon, and T loops). Further hydrogen bonds mediate the characteristic L-shaped molecular structure. tRNAs have two regions of fundamental functional importance: the anti-codon, which is responsible for specific mRNA codon recognition, and the 3' end, to which the tRNAs corresponding amino acid is attached (by aminoacyl-tRNA synthetases). tRNAs cope with the degeneracy of the genetic code in two manners: having more than one tRNA (with a specific anti-codon) for a particular amino acid; and 'wobble' base-pairing, i.e. permitting non-standard base-pairing at the 3rd anti-codon position. Lineage: Eukaryota; Viridiplantae; Streptophyta; Magnoliopsida; Solanales; Solanaceae. The record is from Rfam by way of RNAcentral.
GUUCACAUAGCUCAGCUGGCUAGAGCAAAGGACUGAUAAUCCUUCUGUCAGCG